RNAcentral lists this ribosomal RNA (948 nucleotides) under Microbacterium sp. MTR18. RNAcentral's name for it is "bacterial SSU rRNA". It matches the Rfam family "Bacterial small subunit ribosomal RNA", at positions 556 to 1503 of the family's 1533-position model. Lineage: Bacteria; Bacillati; Actinomycetota; Actinomycetes; Micrococcales; Microbacteriaceae. The record is from RNAcentral.
GGGCGUAAAGCUCGUAGGCGGUUUGUCGCGUCUGCUGUGAAUCCCGAGGCUCAACCUCGGGCCUGCAGUGGGUACGGGCAGACUAGAGUGCGGUAGGGGAGAUUGGAAUUCCUGGUGUAGCGGUGGAAUGCGCAGAUAUCAGGAGGAACACCGAUGGCGAAGGCAGAUCUCUGGGCCGUAACUGACGCUGAGGAGCGAAAGGGUGGGGAGCAAACAGGCUUAGAUACCCUGGUAGUCCACCCCGUAAACGUUGGGAACUAGUUGUGGGGACCAUUCCACGGUUUCCGUGACGCAGCUAACGCAUUAAGUUCCCCGCCUGGGGAGUACGGCCGCAAGGCUAAAACUCAAAGGAAUUGACGGGGACCCGCACAAGCGGCGGAGCAUGCGGAUUAAUUCGAUGCAACGCGAAGAACCUUACCAAGGCUUGACAUACACCAGAACACCGUAGAAAUACGGGACUCUUUGGACACUGGUGAACAGGUGGUGCAUGGUUGUCGUCAGCUCGUGUCGUGAGAUGUUGGGUUAAGUCCCGCAACGAGCGCAACCCUCGUUCUAUGUUGCCAGCACGUAAUGGUGGGAACUCAUGGGAUACUGCCGGGGUCAACUCGGAGGAAGGUGGGGAUGACGUCAAAUCAUCAUGCCCCUUAUGUCUUGGGCUUCACGCAUGCUACAAUGGCCGGUACAAAGGGCUGCAAUACCGUGAGGUGGAGCGAAUCCCAAAAAGCCGGUCCCAGUUCGGAUUGAGGUCUGCAACUCGACCUCAUGAAGUCGGAGUCGCUAGUAAUCGCAGAUCAGCAACGCUGCGGUGAAUACGUUCCCGGGUCUUGUACACACCGCCCGUCAAGUCAUGAAAGUCGGUAACACCUGAAGCCGGUGGCCUAACCCUUGUGGAGGGAGCCGUCGAAGGUGGGAUCGGUAAUUAGGACUAAGUCGUAACAAGGUAACCGU